This 229-nucleotide ribosomal RNA is filed under the name uncultured bacterium. RNAcentral describes it as "partial 16S ribosomal RNA". It matches the Rfam family "Bacterial small subunit ribosomal RNA", at positions 568 to 796 of the family's 1533-position model. The record is from RNAcentral.
CGCGUAGGCGGGGAAGUGGGUCGGCCGUGAAAUCCACCGGCUCAACCGGUGAACUGCGGUCGAAACUGCUUCUCUUGAGCUGGGUAGAGGAAGGCGGAAUUCCUGGUGUAGCGGUGGAAUGCGUAGAUAUCAGGAAGAACACCAGUAGCGAAGGCGGCCUUCUGGGCCAUAGCUGACGCUGAGGCGCGAAAGCUGGGGGAGCGAACAGGAUUAGAUACCCUGGUAGUCC